This 497-nucleotide ribosomal RNA is filed under the name uncultured bacterium. Its description in RNAcentral is "partial 16S ribosomal RNA". It matches the Rfam family "Bacterial small subunit ribosomal RNA", at positions 28 to 507 of the family's 1533-position model. The record is from RNAcentral.
GAUGAACGCUGGCGGCGUGCCUAAUACAUGCAAGUCGAGCGAACGACCGAGUAGCAUGCUUCUCUGGUGUUAGCGGCGGACGGGUGAGUAACGCGUGGGUAACCUACCUGUGAGAAUGGGGUAUCUUCGGGAAAGCGAAGCUAAUGCCGGGUAAUCUUUUGAACCACAAGGGUCCAAAGUGAAAGACGGUCUUGCUGUAACUUAUGGAUGGAUCCGAUCUGCGUUAGCUAGUUGGUCAGGUAACGGCUUACCAAGGCAACGAUGGAUAGCCGACCUAAGAGCGUCAUCGCCCACACGAGAACUGAGAGUCGGUCCAGACUCCUGCGGGAGGCAGCAGUAGGGAAUCCUCCGCGAGGGGCGAAUGCCUGAUGGUGCAACGCCGCGGGAGGGAUGAAGGUCCUCGGAUCGGAAAACGCUGUUAUUAGUGAAUAACAAAUGUGUAAGUAACUGUGCACAUCUUGACGGUACCUAACCAGAAAGCCCCGGCUAACUACGUG